Choloepus didactylus (southern two-toed sloth) is the source of this 3385-nucleotide RNA transcript. It is a transcript of the gene named zinc finger protein 419-like, with no coding region annotated. The transcript is spliced from 4 exons. The record is from RefSeq and is a predicted model, not a curated record. NCBI's taxonomy places the organism in Eukaryota, Metazoa, Chordata, Mammalia, Pilosa, Megalonychidae.
ACCUUUUUCCUUCUUACUGCUGCAUAGUGUUCCAUCAUAUGUAUAUACCACAUUUUGUUUAUCCACUCGUCUGCUGAAGGACACAUGGAUUGUUUCCACCUCUUCACAGUUGUGAACCGUGCUGCUGUGAAUGUCAGUGUGCAAAUGCCUGUUCCAGUCACUGCUUUCAGACCUUCUGGGUAUAUACUGAGAAGUGAAAUUGCUGAAUCGUAGGGUAACUCGAUGUCUGCUUUUCUGAGGAGCCGCGGAAGUGUCUUCCACAGUCACUGCACCACUGUACAGUCCCACCAGCAAUGAAUGAAAGUUCCAGUUUCUCCACAGCCUCCAGCUUCUCUAGUUUCCAGUUUACAUUUGUUUUUAAAGUGGGUCCAACCUGUUUUUCCAACGUGAAUGGUAGGAGGAAAAGAAGUGUCAGAUGUGACCUGAGUUGAGUGACCUUAGCGGCUGGAAGGAUGAAAAUGCCAUCAGCUAAGAUGAGAAAGUCAAUGAUAGGAGUAAUUUCAGUGGUAAUAUUAGGCUUUAGGUUAUGGCUUUAGGAAGGCCGAGACUGGUGAGAGAACCUCUUUGCAACACAGAGUGGCGGAAGACUAAGGUUAUCCAAAAUCUGUGGGUAGUUCUGGGUUGCUGAGGAUGGGAUCCUGAUUGCAUUUACCAAGCACCCUCUGAUGCCAUGUGCAGGGCGCUGUGUGGAGAGGCCAGGGAGAUGGAUGUGAUGUGUAGGGAGUGGCAGUUUCAGUGAGUGGUAGGGGAUGGAGGAAGGUGGGGUGCAUUAGAAGUGUGCAUGUUGCGAGGACUAUAUACCAGAAGCCCCAGCAUCCUGUUACUGGGACUUGAGGUAGACCAGAGAUGCAAAUUUGGUUAUGACUGGAAAGCACAAUCUUAGGGAUCAGGGUGAAUUGACUCACAGGAGAGGGCAGGACACUGCUUUCCAGACCCAGUGCUUCCAUGUCCUCAGUCUCUCCAUCGCAUUGGCCUCUUACAGGCUCCGGAUGGGUGCAGGAAUCAGUGGCACAUGAGCAGAGAGUGGACACCAGUGGCCCAGGGCCUGGGAUCACUACUGACUUGGGGGACUGGGGAAGAGGGUAUGCAAGGGGUGCAUGUUUGGGGAGUGCUUGGACUGUGGGGCAGGAAGCUGCACAUCACCUCAUGUGUCCCCAUCGUGGCAGGGCCAUGUGACCUUUGAGGACGUGGCCGUGUACUUCUCCCAGGAGGAGUGGGGGCUCCUUGAUGAGGCUCAGCGAUGCCUGUACCGCGAUGUGAUGCUGGAGAACUUUGCACUUACGGCCUCCUUGGGAUCUGCAUCUCCCAGGACCCAUGAACUUACCCAGCUGGAGUGGCGGAGGGAGCCCUGGUUGCCUGACCAAGGGGCUGUGACUCCAGCCUCCUCAAGAGGUUAUUGGCUUGGAGUGGAGGCUGAGGAGGCUCGUUCUGAACUGAGUGUUUCUGUAGAAGAAGGAUCACAGAUCAGGAAUCUCAAGACAGGUCCACCCACCCAGAAGGGCCAACUUGGUGCAAUGUGUGGCCCUGUCUUCAAAGAUAAUUUACAAGUGCCUCUGCAUCAGGGAGCCCAUCUUGGGCAGAACCCAUACACUUAUGGGGCAUGUGGUAAACAAUUCAGCACAGACCUUCACCAGCACCAGAAACUACGUACUGGAGAGAACCCUUUCAGGACAGAAGGCAGCAGGGUCUCUAUUAUGAAGAGCCAUAGGAUUCACCUCUCAGAGAAAUCCUUCCAAUGUGGGGAGGAUGGGAAGGACUUUCCAACCAGCUUGGGUCUUCUUGAGUAUCAGGUGACUUGUGGUGGAGAGCCACAGAGGAGCACAGAGUUUGGGGAGGCCUUUCACCCUGGAAAAAGACAUUACAGAUGCAGUGAAUGUGGAAAAGCUUUCAAUAAAAAACGCUUACUUGUUCAGCACCAGACACUACACCCUGGAAAAAUGUCCUUUAGGUGCAGUGAAUGUGGGGAAACCUUUAGGUACAACACCAGCCUCAUUAAACACCAGAGAGUCCACAGUGAAGAAAAGACUUUCGUGUGCAGUGAAUGUGGAAAAGCCUUCACCCAUAACUACUUACUUGUUUAUCACCAGAGAGUUCACACUGGAGAAAAGCCUUUUGUUUGCAGUGAAUGUGGAAAAGCCUUUACUCAAAACUACUUACUUGUUCGGCACCAGAGAGUACACACUGGGGAAAGGCCUUAUAGGUGCAGUGAAUGUGGAAAAUCCUUUAGCCUCAAUGCUGACCUCAUUCAACACCAGAGAAUUCACACUGGAGAAAAGCCUUUCACAUGCCAUGAAUGUGGGAAAGCCUUUAGGCAUAAAUCCACCUUUCGUAGGCAUCGGAUAGUUCACACUAUAGAAAAGCCUUAUGAGUGCCGUCAAUGUGGGAAAUUUUUUAGUGAACGCUCUGGACACAACAUUAUUCAACACUAGAAAAUUCACACUGGAGAAAAGCCUUUUAUGUGCAGUGAAUGUGGAAGGUGCUUUAGAGAAAAUUCUAGCCUUAUUAAACAUGAGAGUUCACACUGGAGCCAUGCUGUAUGAAUGCGGUGAAUGUGGCAAAUUUUUUCGCUAUAGCUCCAGCCUUAUUCUGCAUCUGAGGUUUCACCCUUGAGAAAUGCCUUAUGAGUGCAGCGAUAUGGGGGAUUUUUUAACCAGUGGUUGAACCUUAUUCUUUCAGUAACCAGAGAGUUGACAAUGGAGAGAAGCCUUUUCUUGCAGUGAAUGUGAGAAAGUCUUUAGCCACAACUCCAUGCUUAAUGGACCCCGUGGAUUUGUAGUGGAGAGAGGCAUUAAAAUGUUGCAUGUGGGUAAUUCGUAUACAUACAUCCCACUUUCAACACCAGAGUCUUCACCCUGCAGAAAGGACCUAUGAGUGCAGUGAAUGUUGGUGAAUGUUUUAUAAAAUGAUUUAUAAAAUGGUUCCAUCUCAUUUGGCAGCAACAACUUCUAAACAGAGAACAGCCGUUGGAGUUUGGCAAAUGUGGAAAAGCCUUCAGCUGAAGGUCUUCUCUGACUCAUCGACAGAACCUUCACAAUCCACAUAGGCCUUGUGAUUUCGAUGAAUGUGUGUGUGAAAGAGCUUCAGUCUGAGGCACACCCUACUGUAGAAAGACGAAAGUGCCAGGAAUGUGCUGACUCCUUCAGCAUAAACCGGUUUUCAACCGAGAUAGGCUCUGAGAGUAGCCUUCAUGAGGGAGCCAUCAAUUGAACUUUGUUUACCCAAAUCGGUACCUUAGGAAGAUUUUCUGUGAGUUCUGUGAUGGAAACUGCCUAGUGUGUUGCAUGUCCUCACCUGUCCGUAGACUUUAUGUGAGUUAUCUCAGUGCCAGGGCUGGAAGCAGCAGUCAUCUCAACCCUCCCAGCUGGCUGGUCCCCACAUUGUCCAU